This 1792-nucleotide long non-coding RNA is filed under the name Canis lupus familiaris (dog). Its description in RNAcentral is "lncRNA (ENSCAFG00000058574.1)". Lineage: Eukaryota; Metazoa; Chordata; Mammalia; Carnivora; Canidae. The record is from RNAcentral.
GUACUUGUAAAACUACCUUCACAAGAUUUCCUUGGUAAUUAUCAUUCAAUUCAAUAUUAACUAUCAGUGAGAUUUAUAGGCAGUGAUGAGACCCUUUAGGAAUGUAGCAACCAAAAAAAAAAAAAAAAAGGAAUGUAGCAACCAGCAUGCAUUUGAUCCUUACCAAAACUAUGCAGGACAUAUAGGUGAGCCUUCUGGGCUAAAGGUGAACAUUUUUCUGCUUCUAUCCCUCAUCAUUUCCCCCUGACCAUUCUUGGGUCCUUAAAUCUUUAAGGUUGUUGAAAGGCAAAGGGCUCAUCUUCUGUAGCUUAUUCACAGUGACAAGAAUUAUAGAGAUGUCCCUGCUUGUGGACCGAAAUUGAUCAUAAGCUGUCCCUACAAGGAACUAUUACGGAAGGCCAUUGCUAUAGAGUCUAGAGGGUACAUUGGGGUGAAUUUGUUUUGAGUAUUAAGAAUCAUCUAUUGGCUGGACAAAGGAGUGAGGAACUCUUUACAUGUAUCUCAACAAUAGGAGAGAACAAAGCAAAAGAGACAACAUGUUAGGAUUCAUUUAUAUAUUUAUUAUAAUAAAAAUAAGAAGUGUGAUAAGAUCCUUUAGGAUUGACCUAGUCUACCUCUCAACCAGGAAUUUAACCAAUCAUUAAGGUCUUUAAGAUAAUGUAGAGUCUUUAAGAGCCUGAUUUGGUUAUUUAUAUUUUUGUUAUAAUCUGGAAUGUAGACCCAACAUUCUACUUAAAUAAUGGCAUCUGUUCCUCCUGGUGCUGCUGUUAAGAUAUCUAAUACCAUUCUAUUUUGUAGAAUUGCUUUACACAUUUGAGUUACUUUAGUGUUUAAUAAUGCAAUGCUAUUUUGAGAGUCAUUUAAGGCCUUAAUUGUGUACUUAUCAAGGGCUUCCAUGUACCAUAUGAAAUUUCUAAAACUUUUGAUGGAAGACAAAUAGAUGUCAGAUGGUCAUACCAAUGGAACGCAGAUCGUGUCUAUCAUUGUUUUAGAUAUGGAAGAUGAACUGGACUUGUGCUAGUUUUAGUGUUACGGCUGUGAAUCCAGGCAUAACCAAAGUACAUCUUCCAAUCCAGCCUGGUGGAAGCCAUGGCCACAAAUUUGGCCCACAUAACCAUUGUGUUCCAUUAGGCGCUAGCCAUCUGACAUCUGGUUACCUUGUCUAGUCAGUAGCAAACCAAUUGGUUGCCUGUAAAAUGAUGGUAAAAUCACUGGCUUCUGAGGGGGGGUGGGGGGAGCCAUCCCAUUUGGCAAGUACUAUUGGACCAUGAAUCAAGGGUAUGGUUUUUCUUCUCCCAGCAUAAAAGGGUCUUUUGGCUUAAUUGUCCUAUUGUGGGAGUAAGCCAUAUAUAUCCAUCCUAUACCUCAUAUAAUCUUUCCUGGGUGCCUUGAUAGGAAGAACUACAUACUUGGGGAAUUUGUUGUCAUGAGCCUAUCUAUUUUGAUAGAUUGAGGGGUAGCUGGGUGGCUCAGUUAAGCAUCUGCCUUCGGCUCAGGUCAUGAUCUUGGGGUCCUGGAAUUGAGCCCUGUAUUGGACUCUGCUCACUGGGGAGUCUCCCUCUUGCUCUCACACUCUCAAAUAAAUAAAUAAUCUUUAAAAAAUUAUUUUGAGGGGAUCCCUGGGUGGCGCAGCGGUUUGGUGCCUGCCUUUGGCCCAAGGCGCGAUCCUGGAGACCCGGGAUCGAGUCCCACGUCAGGCUCCCGGUGCAUGGAGCCUGCUUCUCCCUCUGCCUGUGUCUCUGCCUCUCUCUCUCUCUCUCUGUCUGUGUGACUAUCAUAAAUAAUAAAUAAA